CCUACGGGAGGCAGCAGUGGGGAAUAUUGGACAAUGGGGGCAACCCUGAUCCAGCCAUGCCGCGUGAGUGAUGACGGCCUUAGGGUUGUAAAGCUCUUUUCUCCGGGACGAUAAUGACGGUACCGGAGGAAUAAGCCCCGGCUAACUUCGUGCCAGCAGCCGCGGU
RNAcentral lists this ribosomal RNA (166 nucleotides) under uncultured Methylobacterium sp. RNAcentral's name for it is "partial 16S ribosomal RNA". It matches the Rfam family "Bacterial small subunit ribosomal RNA", at positions 338 to 521 of the family's 1533-position model. The record is from RNAcentral. Lineage: Bacteria; Pseudomonadati; Pseudomonadota; Alphaproteobacteria; Hyphomicrobiales; Methylobacteriaceae.